RNAcentral lists this ribosomal RNA (941 nucleotides) under uncultured bacterium. Its description in RNAcentral is "bacterial SSU rRNA". It matches the Rfam family "Bacterial small subunit ribosomal RNA", at positions 8 to 916 of the family's 1533-position model. The record is from RNAcentral.
AGAGUUUGAUCCUGGCUCAGAACGAACGCUGACGGCGUGGCUAAGACAUGCAAGUCGUACGGACUAUUCGAUUGAGUAAUCGAGAGGAUAGUUAGUGGCGAAAGGGUGAGUAAUGCAUAGGUAACGUACCCCUAGCUUCGGGAUAGCUGCGUUCCGCAAGGAACUUUAGCGAAAGUGCAGGUAACACCGGAUGAAAUCUUCGAGCCGCAUGGUUUGAAGAUCAAAAGGCUUAGGUACUGGCAAGGGAGCGGCCUGUGUCGUAUCAGCUAGUUGGUGAGGUAACGGCCCACCAAGGCGACGACGCGUAGCGGGACUGAGAGGUUGACCCGCCACAUUGGGACUGAGACACUGCCCAGACCCCCACGUGGGGCUGCAGUAACGAAUAUUGCGCAAUGGACGAAAGUCUGACGCAGCGACGCCGUGUGUAGGAUGAAGUCCUUCGGGAUGUAAACUACUGUCAGGGUGAAGAAAGGUGAGGGCUGUAAUGCCUGAACUUGAUCGAUCCCAGAGGAAGGCCCGGCUAACUUCGUGCCAGCAGCCGCGGUAAGACGAAGGGGCCAAGCGUUGUUCGGAAUUAUUGGGCUUAAAGCGCAUGCAGGCGGGAAGUUAAGUGUUCUGUGAAAUCCCUCGGCUUAACCGAGGACUAGCGGGGCAAACUGGCUUUCUUGAGGCAAGUAGGGGUGUACGGAACUCUAGGUGGAGCGGUGAAAUGCGUAGAUAUCUAGAGGAACGCCAGCGGAGAAAUCGGUACACUGGGCUUGUUCUGACGCUGAGGUGCGAAAGCGUGGGUAGCGAACGGGAUUAGAUACCCCGGUAGUCCACGCCGUAAACGAUGUCUACUAGGUCGUGGAGGUUCUGACGCCGUCACGGCCGAAGCAAAAGUGGUAAGUAGACCGCCUGGGGAGUACGGUCGCAAGGCUAAAACUCAAAGGAAUUGACGG